This is a long non-coding RNA of Crocodylus porosus (Australian saltwater crocodile), 1948 nucleotides long. The record is from Ensembl. NCBI's taxonomy places the organism in Eukaryota, Metazoa, Chordata, Crocodylia, Crocodylidae.
NNNNNNNNNNNNNNNNNNNNNGGCCGGGCCGGCCUGCUGGGUGGGGGAGACGCGGCCUGGGAGCCGGCCCACCCACCGCGAGCGGGGCGGGAGCCAGCGGGAUGAGCUGCGGUGGCCGGGCCGGGGCGGCAGCGGGCUCCCGCGGGGGCUCUCGGGACCUGCCCGCCUGCCCGGCCAGCCCUGGGUGGGAGCAGAGCUGGGGCAGGUGGCCGGCUGCCCUUCCAGCCUGGGGGCUGCAUUCGUGCCCCCCAGCUGCACCCGGCCUCCUGCGGGGCGGGGGGCAGCCGCUGGGCUGUGGGUAGGGGGCAGCUGCGGCUCCCCCCACCCCUGGCCUGGGCCGGCGGGUAGCGCUGAGCGGCGGGAGGGGCAGGGGCUGUUCCCCGGCUGCAGGCAGCAUGGGGGGUUUGCCCCGUGGCCCCGUGCGUUCGGGUUUCUCUCGAGGGCUGAGACCGCCCGGCUCCGCCCUGCUGGUGCCUGGUGGGGAGAGCUGGCGGCUUUGCUCCCGCAGCCCCGGCCCCCGCCUUGGCUGGGGCUCCCCAGGGGGAGGCGGCCGCGGCCGCGCCCGGGCCAGCACAUUCCCAGCCGGGCCGCGAGCCCCGUGGCGCGGGGGAAAGCCCUGGCCGGGGUCUGUGGGAACCAGACGGCCCCUGGGCACCGCUCGGCAGGGCUCGCUUCCUCCCGUGCCCCCGGGGACUGUGGGAAGGCGGGAGCCGAGGUCAGCCGCUCCGGGCAGGCCAGCGGCGUGGCCCGCGCCAGCGCGACCGCGUUCCCAACCCGUCUUUUUUCACUGGGGAAAUAAAAAUGCAAGGAAGGGGCGACGAUCCAGCCUGGGCCCUGCUCCCGCGCCCCUGCGGCGCAGAGCCGGGCUGUGGGGGCGGCGGGAGCCGAUAAGGGGUGACGUGGCUCUGGGCACUGCUGGUCUCCGAGUGACGCCAGCGCCUCCCCUCCCCGUGGGCUCCCUCCGGCUCCGAGGCAAGGGAGCGGCUGGAGGGCCCCGCGACCCUCGGCGCCUUCCCCGCCGUGCCCCUCGCCACCCUGGUUGGUGGCAGCCUGGGCGCUGCGUCCCCGCUUCCUGGAGGGGACAGCCCCCGCGUCCCGCGUGCAGCGCCCGGGAUGGGGCUGCUGGGCUGCGGGGCUCAUCCCCUGCAGCGCGGCCAGCUGUCCGGGCGCGGCCGGAGGGGCCUGUUGGCCACGCAGCAGGCUUCGGCCCGCGUGCCGGACCUCCGUGCUGCCUCCCUGUCGGGACCGGUGUUUGCGGUGCCGCCCUUGGCACCGCGCAGGCGGGUGGAGAAGGGCUCUGGGUGUGUCCCAGACACCGCUCUCCUUGGCUGCGCUCCGUGCGGGUCUGGCGAGAUCCCACGGGAAGGCGCAGCCCAAGCCGGGGCCCGGCUCUUGGACCCAGCCUCGUGGGGUGCUGGCCUUGCCCAGAGCCGCACAGGGGGAUAGAAGCGAAUGCCCGGCUGGGCAGGGGCGCUCGCGGGAGCCUGCGGGCAGGGAAGCAGCCCGGGCAUCCUCUCCGGAAACCCGCUGGUUUAGCUGUCCUGCUGCUGGCAGGCUGUCCUGUUCCCCAUCCUGUCGGUCACGGCUGCGGCCGAUGCCCCUUCCUCUCCCGGCACUGCCCCGUCUGGGAGAGGGCGGAGGGCCAGAUCCUGCGGCCCAGGAGCCGUGCCACCUCGUGCGGUGCGUGCCGAGCUCGUGCCCUGCUUUGUCCCUGCCUCCCCCACCCCGGUGCCUGGUGGCGGUUCCUGGUGGCUUCUGGCGAAGGGGCUUCGGCCCCGGGCCCGGCUCUGCCCGACACCAGCCCGGCUGCCCGCACGAGGCGCCCCGCCCCGGCUGGGGGAGCAGGACGCGGGAGGGUUGCGGGGCCGCUGGUCAGCCGAGACCAGCCCCUCGUGGGCACCCUGGCCGGGCGCCCGGCACGGAUCCUGGGGGCCGAGGGCACGGCUGC